RNAcentral lists this ribosomal RNA (119 nucleotides) under Triticum aestivum (bread wheat). Lineage: Eukaryota; Viridiplantae; Streptophyta; Magnoliopsida; Poales; Poaceae. The record is from RNAcentral.
GGAUGCGAUCAUACCAGCACUAAAGCACCGGAUCCCAUCAGAACUCCGAAGUUAAGCGUGCUUGGGCGAGAGUAGUACUAGGAUGGGUGACCUCCUGGGAAGUCCUCGUGUUGCAUUAU